AAAUAAGAAGUAAAAUAUUACAUUUAGUUUCGACCUAAAUAUUUGGUUAAAUCCCUUAUUUA
This 62-nucleotide transfer RNA is filed under the name Sinocrepis fulva. RNAcentral's name for it is "tRNA-Arg". Lineage: Eukaryota; Metazoa; Arthropoda; Insecta; Coleoptera; Chrysomelidae. The record is from RNAcentral.